This 26-nucleotide non-coding RNA is filed under the name Cricetulus griseus (Chinese hamster). The record is from RNAcentral. Lineage: Eukaryota; Metazoa; Chordata; Mammalia; Rodentia; Cricetidae.
AACAUUGUUAAUCGGGAGACUUGUUC